GCAAGUCGAGCGGCAGCAUGACGUGUAGCAAUACACGUUGAUGGCGAGCGGCGGACGGGUGAGUAAUGCAUGGGAAUCUGCCCAGUAGCGGGGGACAACCCGGAGAAAUCCGGGCUAAUACCGCAUACGCCCUACGGGGGAAAGCGGGGGACCGAAAGGCCUCGCACUAUUGGAGGAGCCCAUGUCCGAUUAGCUAGUUGGUGAGGUAACGGCUCACCAAGGCAACGAUCGGUAGCUGGUCUGAGAGGACGAUCAGCCACACCGGAACUGAGACACGGUCCGGACUCCUACGGGAGGCAGCAGUGGGGAAUAUUGGACAAUGGGGGAAACCCUGAUCCAGCAAUGCCGCGUGGGUGAAGAAGGCCUGCGGGUUGUAAAGCCCUUUCGAUGAGGACAAAACGCGCCGUGUUAACACCACGGUGUUUUGAUUUAACUCAUUAAAGAAGCACCGGCUAACUCUGUGCCAGCAGCCGCGGUAAUACAGAGGGUGCGAGCGUUAAUCGGAAUUACUGGGCGUAAAGCGCACGUAGGCGGCUUGGUAAGUUGGAUGUGAAAUCCCCGGGCUUAACUUGGGAAUUGCAUUCAAGACUGCCUUGCUAGAGUGUGGGAGAGGGAAGCGGAAUUCCAGGU
Molecule: ribosomal RNA, 630 nt
Filed under: uncultured Gammaproteobacteria bacterium
Lineage: Bacteria; Pseudomonadati; Pseudomonadota; Gammaproteobacteria
Description: bacterial SSU rRNA
Rfam family: Bacterial small subunit ribosomal RNA
Source: RNAcentral